UAACUUUAGUUUUUGUAAAAAUGGAAGAAGGCUUCGUUUUUGAAAUAUAUGUACUGGUCAGGGGUUUGUUCAUCGCGAACGCGGAGAGGGGCUCGCGUUCGUGGUGAGGAAAAAUUCAAGUGGAUGGAGAUUGCUCUUUGCGAAUGCGAGGAUAGGGCUGAACGCAAAGUCCUCGGAUUAGAACCUAUGCAAACGUGACGCGAGACACGCGAACGUGUAGAAGAGAAAAAAGAGCGGUCCAGAACUGACCCUACGUGAACGCGUUAGCAAGGACACGAACGCGAAAGAGGGGAAGUUGAGCUUCGCAAACACGUGGAAGAGGGACGCGAACAUGAUGAAGGGAAAGGGUAAAGAUUCGCGAACGCGGGGCUUCCUUCGCGAAUGCGAAGAAGGAUAGCAGACCUGCAAUUUUUCUGCUGCAAUUAUAAACACCA
RNAcentral lists this long non-coding RNA (434 nucleotides) under Nicotiana benthamiana. RNAcentral describes it as "long non-coding RNA (NBEN_LNC023087)". Lineage: Eukaryota; Viridiplantae; Streptophyta; Magnoliopsida; Solanales; Solanaceae. The record is from RNAcentral.